Molecule: ribosomal RNA, 528 nt
Filed under: uncultured bacterium
Lineage: Bacteria
Description: partial 16S ribosomal RNA
Rfam family: Bacterial small subunit ribosomal RNA
Source: RNAcentral
UGGGGAAUAUUGCACAAUGGGCGGAAGCCUGAUGCAGCAACGCCGCGUGAGUGAUGAAGGCCUUCGGGUUGUAAAGCUCUGUCUUUUGGGACGAUAAUGACGGUACCAAAGGAGGAAGCCACGGCUAACUACGUGCCAGCAGCCGCGGUAAUACGUAGGUGGCAAGCGUUGUCCGGAUUUACUGGGCGUAAAGGAUGCGUAGGCGGAUUUUUAAGUGAGAUGUGAAAUACCCGGGCUUAACUUGGGUGCUGCAUUUCAAACUGGGAAUCUAGAGUGCGGGAGAGGAGAAUGGAAUUCCUAGUGUAGCGGCGAAAUGCGUAGAGAUUAGGAAGAACACCAGUGGCGAAGGCGAUUCUCUGGACCGUAACUGACGCUGAGGCAUGAAAGCGUGGGUAGCAAACAGGAUUAGAUACCCUGGUAGUCCACGCCGUAAACGAUGAGUACUAGGUGUAGGAGGUAUCGACCCCUUCUGUGCCGCAGUUAACACAAUAAGUACUCCGCCUGGGAAGUACGAUCGCAAGAUUAAAA